GAAAUAGGUUCAUGCCAAAGACCCCUAUUACUGAAUUACUGAAAUAGAUUCAUACCAAAUACUACUAUUACAGAAUUACUGAAAUAGGUUCAUAACAACAAAGACCACUAUUACAGAAUUACUGAAAUAUGUUCAUAACAAAGUGACCUAGAACAUGUCGACUAGAAGUUAAACACUAUUUAGAAACACCAGAAAUAGCCACAUGACACAUAUGAAACAAAAAAAUCUCAAUAUUGGUUAGUGUUUCUCGUGAAAUAUUUUAUUGUUGAAUCAAAUAAAAGGUGUGGAGCAAAUUGACAACCUCAUAAAUCAAAUUCAUGUAAAUAAGAUUUUAUUCACCAGCUUGGCAUCCUGUUUUAAAGAUUUGUCAACCAUACACGACUAUAAAGAUAGAACCCUUCACAAGUAUUGUCAUUUAGUUGUUGGUCUACCAGUUAAAGAUGAGGCUGUUUCUUGUUCUAUGUUUCGUCGUAUUGGCUUGUACACUAGGGGUAGAGGGAUAUUGUUAUACUCAUACUCAUAAAAAACAUUCUGAAAGCGAUCAAGAAUAUUGUGAUCGUUUGGACACUUUGUACAACUUUAUUAAUAACGACAUAGCAACACAUUGUCAAGAUGAUGUCUAGCGUUGCCUGCAUGUGUUUCACAGGGACAUGUAACACUGAUGAGAGAAACUAUUUGGAAACUGUUGCUUGUGGAAUUUGGUAGUCUGCUGUCUAAAGGGAUUAAUCAUUGCAUCUAGUGAAACUGGAAAUCGUAUUCUUACUAAAUUAAUGUGUGAUAUUUCACCUAGAAGAAAUAAAAUAUAAGAUUUGAUUUGAUUAGUAAACUUACAAACUUCGCCUAAAAGUGACAGCUGUCGAUUACCAGAUAUCGCGACUAUAUAUCUAUACUUAUAUCCAAUAAUUCAGUUAAUAAACGCAAUGUCCUCUGUCACAAUA
Long non-coding RNA from Patella vulgata (common limpet), 938 nucleotides. RefSeq lists it as uncharacterized. Lineage: Eukaryota; Metazoa; Mollusca; Gastropoda; Patellidae. The transcript has 2 exons. The record is from RefSeq and is a predicted model, not a curated record.